GACGAACGCUGGCGGCGUGCCUAACACAUGCAAGUCGAACGGACAGGCCCUGCUCUUGUUGGUUUCUCGUUUGCCGAACGGGUGAGUGACACGUGUGUAACCUGUCCUUGACUUUGGGAUAACUUCACGGAACUCGGGCGCUUAUCCCAUAUGAUCUCCUGCUGCAUAUUGUUCAAUGGAAAGUUUCGGCGGUUUGGGAUGUACUCGCUGCUUAUCAGCUGGUUUGUGUGGUAGUUGCUUACCAAGGCUUCGACGGGUAGCCGGCCUGAGAGGGGGAACGGGCACAAUGGGACUGAGAGACGGACCAGAAUGGUACGGGAGGCAGCAGUGGGGAGUAUUGCAGAAUGGGCGGAAGCCUGAGGCAGAAACGCCGGGUGCGGGAUGACGGCCUUCGGGGUGUAAACAGAUUUGGAAGGUGACGAAGAGUGAGUGACGGUAAUGGGUAAAGAAGCAACGGCUAACUACGUG
Molecule: ribosomal RNA, 468 nt
Filed under: uncultured bacterium
Lineage: Bacteria
Description: partial 16S ribosomal RNA
Rfam family: Bacterial small subunit ribosomal RNA
Source: RNAcentral